RNAcentral lists this ribosomal RNA (417 nucleotides) under Triticum aestivum (bread wheat). Its description in RNAcentral is "partial small subunit ribosomal RNA". The record is from RNAcentral. Lineage: Eukaryota; Viridiplantae; Streptophyta; Magnoliopsida; Poales; Poaceae.
AUGGCUGUUCAUCUACCUUUAUCCUUGGAAGCUCAGGCAGAAGCCCGUUUACUUAUGUUUUCUCAUAUGAAUCUCUUAUCUCCCGCUAUUGGGGAUCCUAUUUGCGUACCAACCCAAGACAUGCUUAUCGGGCUUUAUGUAUUAACGAUUGGAAAGCGUCGAGGUAUUUGUGCAAAUAGAUAUAAUAGUUGCAGAAACUAUCCAAAUCUAAAAGUAAAUUACAAUAAUAAUAAUAAUUCUAAAUAUAGGAAAGAUAAAGAACCCCAUUUUUCUAGUUCUUAUGAUGCACUGGGAGCUUAUAGACAAAAACUAAUCAGUUUAGAUAGUCCCUUGUGGCUACGAUGGAACCUGGAUCAACGCGUCAUUGGGUCAAGAGAAGUUCCGAUUGAAGUUCAAUAUGAAUCUUUGGGGAUAUAG